GACGAACGCUGGCGGCGUGCUUAACACAUGCCAGUCGAACGGAAAGGCCCUGCUUUUGUGGGGUGCUCGAGUGGCGAACGGGUGAGUAACACGUGAGUAACCUGCCCUUGACUUUGGGAUAACUUCAGGAAACUGGGGCUAAUACCGGAUAGGAGCUCCUGCUGCAUGGUGGGGGUUGGAAAGUUUCGGCGGUUGGGGAUGGACUCGCGGCUUAUCAGCUUGUUGGUGGGGUAGUGGCUUACCAAGGCUUUGACGGGUAGCCGGCCUGAGAGGGUGACCGGCCACAUUGGGACUGAGAUACGGCCCAGUCUCGUACGGGAGGCAGCAGUGGGGAAUAUUGCACAAUGGGCGGAAGCCUGAUGCAGCAACGCCGCGUGCGGGAUGACGGCCUUCGGGUUGUAAACCGCUUUCGCCUGUGACGAAGCGUGAGUGACGGUAAUGGGUAAAGAAGCACCGGCUAACUACGUG
RNAcentral lists this ribosomal RNA (468 nucleotides) under uncultured bacterium. RNAcentral's name for it is "partial 16S ribosomal RNA". It matches the Rfam family "Bacterial small subunit ribosomal RNA", at positions 28 to 507 of the family's 1533-position model. The record is from RNAcentral.